UACAACUCGUAUAAAUGCCACCGCUCUGCCUGCUCCAGUAUCAGAUAUUUCCCCCGAGAAACAUCCGACUCUUACUAACAUGGGCAAGGAAAGGACCAGCGUCAACAUGGCCGUCGUCGGCUACUACUAGACCUUCUAUCAGCAGAUGGACGGCUAGUACACAAACACGGACAUGACCCGGCUUCUGUACACGGACACGCUCUGGACACGGACGAUACGAUGCUAGGCUCUCCCGGAUUAUUAUAACUCAACAUGAUUGGCUUUUUAUGAAAUAUAUCAAAAUUCUUCCGUUUAA
Long non-coding RNA from Homalodisca vitripennis (glassy-winged sharpshooter), 295 nucleotides. RefSeq lists it as uncharacterized. The record is from RefSeq and is a predicted model, not a curated record. The transcript is spliced from 2 exons. Lineage: Eukaryota; Metazoa; Arthropoda; Insecta; Hemiptera; Cicadellidae.